AUCUAAACCCGUUGCACCAUAUAACCCCGUCCCGUAAAAUUAAACAUCAUUUGUUAUUUUUUUUGAAUAAUAUUUUUAUCCACUACGGGUUGCAGGUUCAUGCGGAUAAGCCCGUAGAGAGUUGCGGGUUUGCGGAUCGACCCGCCAAAAGAGAAGCUAUCUUUUGAAACCCUUUGUUUUGUUUAGAGGUUUUAAGAAAAUAU
RNAcentral lists this long non-coding RNA (203 nucleotides) under Arabidopsis lyrata. RNAcentral's name for it is "long non-coding RNA (ALYR_LNC002048)". The record is from RNAcentral. Lineage: Eukaryota; Viridiplantae; Streptophyta; Magnoliopsida; Brassicales; Brassicaceae.